GGUGCAAUCAAGGUGGAGAUCAACUACGAAGGGUUGAUCGAUGCUCUCUUAUGCAAGAAGGAGCCAUCUACAUAGAAGAUGCCAAUAAAAGCCUAGUGCGAGGUGGAGCUCCAGGUGGAGAUAGAUCGAGCACGAGAUAGGAGACUCGAGAGGAUGAUAAGCGAUGUCAUUAGCAGGCUAUCCCGAGUAGAUCUCAGGUUAGAGGAUAUGACAGACAUA
This 219-nucleotide long non-coding RNA is filed under the name Elaeis guineensis (African oil palm). Its description in RNAcentral is "long non-coding RNA (EGUI_LNC035848)". Lineage: Eukaryota; Viridiplantae; Streptophyta; Magnoliopsida; Arecales; Arecaceae. The record is from RNAcentral.